RNAcentral lists this unclassified non-coding RNA (345 nucleotides) under soil metagenome. RNAcentral's name for it is "partial contains 5.8S ribosomal RNA, internal transcribed spacer 2, and large subunit ribosomal RNA". The stretch from base 1 to 120 matches the Rfam family "5.8S ribosomal RNA", at positions 35 to 154 of the family's 154-position model. The record is from RNAcentral.
GAUGAAGAACGUAGCGAAAUGUGAUACGUAAUGUGAAUUGCAGAAUUCAGUGAAUCAUCGAGUCUUUGAACGCACAUUGCGCCCCCUGGUAUUCCGGGGGGCAUGCCUGUCCGAGCGUCAUUGCUGCCCUCAAGCACGGCUUGUGUGUUGGGCCUCCGUCCUCCUCCCGGGGGACGGGCCCGAAAGGCAGCGGCGGCACCGCGUCCGGUCCUCGAGCGUAUGGGGCUUCGUCACCCGCUCUUGUAGGCCCGGUCGGCGCUUGCCGACACAUCAAUCUUUUUUCCAGGUUGACCUCGGAUCAGGUAGGGAUACCCGCUGAACUUAAGCAUAUCAAUAAGCGGAGGA